GACUACGUGUCAGAAUUACCAAAUAUUUGACAUCCAAUAGCCGAUGAUUAAUUAAUCAGUGUGCUCUAGUGGUGACGUUAAACAAAACAAACUUUUAAUCAAUGCAUUCCCAUUCGAUUACUUAAGUCUAACAUUGUGAUUUCGAAGCACUUCGUAAUAACGGAAUCACCCGAGAUUCGACCGACAUCGGUAAUUUCCCGGAACCGGUCGAAACGUGGAGUGACGUGGCGGCACGUUUUAAAGCGUCAGAACAUGGGCAGAACUGAACAACGACAGCGAGACAGGAAGCAAAAUGCUGCCAAAAGAUAGACAGCAUGUCCAUUACAAAGAAGAAUAAAGUGAUUUUGACCGAGAGAGCUGUACAUCGAGAUGUCGAUCCUUUGGUGGAUGCGGUUCUUUUGCGUCAGGGGAUGUCUUCUCUUUGGGAGAUUUGCUCUUUCUGACUGGAGCGAGUUUGGAAAUGGUUGGAACGAGAAAUAAUCAACAGGGGAUAAUCGAUCUUUCAAUCUUUUUCAUCUGAAGUGGAAACACCUACAUCUCACUUAGCUCAUUCAUAAGAAAUAAUAUAUUAUUUCUCUACAAAAAUAAAAUUACACAUAAAACGUUUUGAAGAAAGAAUAAAAUUUUGCUUCGUUAAUUAAAGGGACAUUCCUGAGUUUGCUGCAAUUUUUAAGAUGUUAUCGACUAACAGAGACU
Molecule: long non-coding RNA, 696 nt
Organism: Gigantopelta aegis
Lineage: Eukaryota; Metazoa; Mollusca; Gastropoda; Neomphalida; Peltospiridae
Exons: 3
Source: RefSeq, a predicted model, not a curated record